GUAGGUGGCAAGCGUUGUCCGGAAUUAUUGGGCGUAAAGCGCGCGCAGGCGGUUCUUUAAGUCUGAUGUGAAAGCCCACGGCUCAACCGUGGAGGGUCAUUGGAAACUGGAGAACUUGAGUACAGAAGAGGAAAGCGGAAUUCCACGUGUAGCGGUGAAAUGCGUAGAGAUGUGGAGGAACACCAGUGGCGAAGGCGGCUAUCUGGUCUGUAACUGACGCUGAGGCGCGAAAGCGUGGGGGAGCAAACAGGAUUAGAUACCCUGGUAGUCCACGCCGUAAACGAUGAGUGCUAAGUGUUAGGGGGUUUCCGCCCCUUAGUGCUGCAGCUAACGCAUUAAGCACUCCGCCUGGGAGUACGGCCGCAAGGCUG
RNAcentral lists this ribosomal RNA (371 nucleotides) under uncultured organism. Its description in RNAcentral is "partial 16S ribosomal RNA". It matches the Rfam family "Bacterial small subunit ribosomal RNA", at positions 527 to 896 of the family's 1533-position model. The record is from RNAcentral.